GAUGAACGCUGGCGGCGUGCCUAAUACAUGCAAGUCGAGCGAACAGACGAGGAGCUUGCUCCUCUGACGUUAGCGGCGGACGGGUGAGUAACACGUGGAUAACCUACCUAUAAGACUGGGAUAACUUCGGGAAACCGGAGCUAAUACCGGAUAAUAUAUUGAACCGCAUGGUUCAAUAGUGAAAGACGGUUUUGCUGUCACUUCUAGAUGGAUCCGCGCCGCAUUAGCUAGUUGGUAAGGUAACGGCUUACCAAGGCGACGAUGCGUAGCCGACCUGAGAGGGGGAUCGGCCACACUGGAACUGAGACACGGUCCAGACGCCUAAGGGAGGCAGCAGUAGGGAAUCUUCCGCAAUGGGCGAAAGCCUGACGGAGCAACGCCGCGUGAGUGAUGAAGGUCUUCGGAUCGUAAAACUCUGUUAUUAGGGAAGAACAAAUGUGUAAGUAACUAUGCACGUCUUGACGGUACCUAAUCAGAAAGCCACGGCUAACUACGUG
RNAcentral lists this ribosomal RNA (497 nucleotides) under uncultured bacterium. RNAcentral's name for it is "partial 16S ribosomal RNA". It matches the Rfam family "Bacterial small subunit ribosomal RNA", at positions 28 to 507 of the family's 1533-position model. The record is from RNAcentral.